GGAGAACUCAUAUCAGACAAUGUGGAGGAUCAAACAGAACAGGCUCUGAAAAAUAUUGGGGAGAUACUUAAAGCUGGCGGUGUUAGCUAUUCUGCAGCUGUUAAAACAACAAUUAUGUUGGCUGAUCUAGGGGACUUUCAGAAAGUCAAUGCAAUUUAUGCUAAAUAUUUUCCAGAUCCUGCACCAGCACGUUCAACUUUUCAAGCAGCAGGAUUACCUCUGAAUGCAAAAAUUGAAAUUGAUUGCAUAGCAGUGUGUUAAACAGAUUAAAGUCUUC
RNAcentral lists this unclassified non-coding RNA (277 nucleotides) under Hevea brasiliensis (rubber tree). The record is from RNAcentral. Lineage: Eukaryota; Viridiplantae; Streptophyta; Magnoliopsida; Malpighiales; Euphorbiaceae.